Molecule: ribosomal RNA, 112 nt
Filed under: Streptomyces sp. WAC01280
Lineage: Bacteria; Bacillati; Actinomycetota; Actinomycetes; Kitasatosporales; Streptomycetaceae
Description: partial 16S ribosomal RNA
Rfam family: Bacterial small subunit ribosomal RNA
Source: RNAcentral
CCAACCCCUUGUGGGAGGGAGCUGUCGAAGGUGGGACUGGCGAUUGGGACGAAGUCGUAACAAGGUAGCCGUACCGGAAGGUGCGGCUGGAUCACCUCCUUUCUAAGGAGCA